AGAGUUUGAUCAUGGCUCAGGAUGAACGCUGGCGGCGUGCCUAAUACAUGCAAGUCGAGCGAACAGACGAGGAGCUUGCUCCUUUGACGUUAGCGGCGGACGGGUGAGUAACACGUGGAUAACCUACCUAUAAGACUGGGAUAACUUCGGGAAACCGGAGCUAAUACCGGAUAACAUGUUGAACCGCAUGGUUCAACAGUGAAAGACGGUCUUGCUGUCACUUAUAGAUGGAUCCGCGCCGCAUUAGCUAGUUGGUAAGGUAACGGCUUACCAAGGCAACGAUGCGUAGCCGACCUGAGAGGGUGAUCGGCCACACUGGAACUGAGACACGGUCCAGACUCCUACGGGAGGCAGCAGUAGGGAAUCUUCCGCAAUGGGCGAAAGCCUGACGGAGCAACGCCGCGUGAGUGAAGAAGGUCUUCGGAUCGUAAAACUCUGUUAUUAGGGAAGAACAAAUGUGUAAGUAACUAUGCACGUCUUGACGGUACCUAAUCAGAAAGCCACGGCUAACUACGUGCCAGCAGCCGCGGUAAUAC
This 536-nucleotide ribosomal RNA is filed under the name Staphylococcus sp. MSB2032. Its description in RNAcentral is "bacterial SSU rRNA". It matches the Rfam family "Bacterial small subunit ribosomal RNA", at positions 8 to 526 of the family's 1533-position model. Lineage: Bacteria; Bacillati; Bacillota; Bacilli; Caryophanales; Staphylococcaceae. The record is from RNAcentral.